This 1109-nucleotide long non-coding RNA is filed under the name Homo sapiens (human). RNAcentral describes it as "long intergenic non-protein coding RNA 1192". The record is from RNAcentral. Lineage: Eukaryota; Metazoa; Chordata; Mammalia; Primates; Hominidae.
GCAACAUGCUGCUGUUGCUGGGAGUGGGAAAGAGGUGGCAUCGGCGGUUCAAGACUGAGUUUUCUAUCUCUUCAGUGCCUCUUUCAACAAUGAAGAUCAAACCAGGUUUUGUGCAAAUAUCUGCUGAGUGAACUACUUAUUUGAAAAUACAUCAUUGGUUAAUAUUCCCUUUUGCUCAUUGAAAUCUCAAAGACUACAGACCCCGCACAAGACAUUCUGACAUUCCCGUCUUUGAAAUGAAUGACAGCAAUGAUAAAUAUGGCUCACCUCCAGAGAUACAGAUCUCACAACUUCAUAUUUUUAAUAUAAAUUAUUAAUCUGAGUUUCCAGAAGCAGAGAGAGAUAAGACCCAUGAUAAUCAAGCCAUAAACAGAUGCAUUUACUAGCUGAAUGGCCAACAAUGGAAUUCAACAAAUCCAUCUUGAGCACGGCAGCCAGGAACAAACUACAAUAAAGCCAUGCCCUGACUGGAUGUGCCUAACAUUUGUCUGGUGCUUAAAGGAGUUGGCUGCAUGCGUGGAAAUGUUGGAAAGUCACCAAAAAUAGUUCUCCAAGUCAGAAGCGGUGCAAAAGCUGCCUCAGCUCUUGGUGGAUUUUCAAUUUCUCCCAGCCAUCUCUGUUUCGCUAAAGGUUUCUGAAGACAGUGGAUAAUGAAGAUAUUAUACCAUUAUAUGCUCUUGAAUCUGUCUCAUUGUGACUUGGCGAAGAGGCAGUGAAUCUGCCAAAAAGAAGUAGAGCAGCUGUGAAGAUGCCAACACAAUUGAGUACUCUUUCUCUACAUAUUUCUAAAUAUGGCAAUUUAUUGGACACUUAUGAGCAUGGAAUGACAAUGGGGUCAAUUUAACCAUACGGCAAUGCUGAGACACCUUCAUUAUGACCUUUCCCUGGUAUAAGUUAUGUGAUAAUGAAUGCAUGUUUAGUCACACACUGUAGGUACAGAUGGGAAAAAAGAAAGCAUAAAAUAUAAAACAUGAUGUCCAGGUUUCAAAUAAGAAUUCUAAAAUGUUAUUUAAUUAAUGAAAUGAAAAUACUUUACUUUAGAAAAAGAAUAUUGAAUCUCUUUGAUGUAUAAAAUGUAUAUUUCAAAUUAAAAAUUCAAAAGAAACAAA